GCAAGUCGAACGGUAACAGGCUAGAAGAUCUCUUCGGAGUGAUUUUGGUGCUGACGAGUGGCGGACGGGUGAGUAAUGCAUAGGAAUCUGCCCAGUAGUGGGGGAUAACGUGGAGAAAUCCACGCUAAUACCGCAUAUGUCCUACGGGACAAAGCAGGGGACCUUCGGGCCUUGCGCUAUUGGAUGAGCCUAUGUCGGAUUAGCUUGUUGGUAGGGUAAUGGCCUACCAAGGCAACGAUCCGUAGCUGGUCUGAGAGGAUGACC
This 264-nucleotide ribosomal RNA is filed under the name uncultured bacterium. RNAcentral's name for it is "partial 16S ribosomal RNA". It matches the Rfam family "Bacterial small subunit ribosomal RNA", at positions 57 to 305 of the family's 1533-position model. The record is from RNAcentral.